This 1487-nucleotide ribosomal RNA is filed under the name uncultured Bordetella sp. RNAcentral describes it as "partial 16S-23S ribosomal RNA intergenic spacer". It matches the Rfam family "Bacterial small subunit ribosomal RNA". The record is from RNAcentral. Lineage: Bacteria; Pseudomonadati; Pseudomonadota; Betaproteobacteria; Burkholderiales; Alcaligenaceae.
AGUUCGAUCAUGGCUCAGAUUGAACGCUGGCGGGAUGCUUUACACAUGCAAGUCGAACGGCAGCACGGACUUCGGUCUGGUGGCGAGUGGCGAACGGGUGAGUAAUGUAUCGGAACGUGCCUAGUAGCGGGGGAUAACUACGCGAAAGGUGCAGCUAAUACCGCAUACGCCCUUCGGGGGAAAGCGGGGACCUUUCGGCCCUCGCACUAUUAGAGCGGCCGAUAUCGGAUUAGCUAGUUGGUGGGGUAACGGCUCACCAAGGCGACGAUCCGUAGCUGGUUUGAGAGGACGACCAGCCACACUGGGACUGAGACACGGCCCAGACUCCUACGGGAGGCAGCAGUGGGGAAUUUUGGACAAUGGGGAAACCCUGAUCCAGCCAUCCCCGCGUGUGCGAUGAAGGCCUUCUGGUUGUAAAGCACUUUUGGCAGGUGAAAAGAAACGGCACGGGAUAAUACCCCGUGCAACUGACGGUACCUGCAGAAUAAGCACCGGCUAACUACGUGCCAGCAGCCGCGGUAAUACGUAGGGUGCAAGCGUUAAUCGGAAUUACUGGGCGUAAAGCGUGCGCAGGCGGUUCGGAAAGAAAGAUGUGAAAUCCCAGAGCUUAACUUUGGAACUGCAUUUUUAACUACCGAGCUAGAGUGUGUCAGAGGGAGGUGGAAUUCCGCGUGUAGCAGUGAAAUGCGUAGAUAUGCGGAGUGAACCGAUGGCGAAGGCAGCCUUCUGGGAUAACACUGACGCUCAUGCACGAAAGCGUGGGGAGCAAACAGGAUUAGAUACCCUGGUAGUCCACGCCCUAAACGAUGUCAACUAGCCGUUGGGGCCUUCGGGCCUUGGUAGCGCAGCUAACGCGUGAAGUUGACCGCCUGGGGAGUACGGUCGCAAGAUUAAAACUCAAAGGAAUUGACGGGGACCCGCACAAGCGGUGGAUGAUGUGGAUUGACCCGAUGCAACGCGAAAAACCUACCUACCCUUGACAUGUCUGGAAUCCCGAAGAGAUUUGGGAGUGCUCGCAAGAGAACCGGAACACAGGUGCUGCAUGGCUGUCGUCAGCUCGUGUCGUGAGAUGUUGGGUUAAGUCCCGCAACGAGCGCAACCCUGUCAUUAGUUGCUACGAAAGGGCACCUAAUGAGACUGCCGGUGACAAACCGGAGGAAGGUGGGGAUGACGUCAAGUCCUCAUGGCCCUUAUGGGUAGGCUUCACACGUCAUACAAUGGUCGGGACAGAGGGUCGCCAACUCCGCGAGGGGGAGCCAAUCCAGAAACCCGAUCGUAGUCCGGAUCGCAGUCUGCAACUCGACUGCGUGAAGUCGGAAUCGCUAGUAAUCGCGGAUCAGCAUGUCGCGGUGAAUACGUUCCCGGGUCUUGUACACACCGCCCGUCACACCAUGGGGAGGGGUUUUACCAGAAGUAGUUAGCCUAACCGUAAGGAGGGCGAUUACCACGGUAGGAUUCAUGACUGGGGUGAAGUCGUAACAAGGUAG